UACGUAGGGGGCGAGCGUUGUCCGGAUUUAUUGGGCGUAAAGAGCUCGUAGGCGGUUGGGUAAGUCGGGUGUGAAAACUCAGGGCUCAACUCUGAGACGCCACUCGAUACUGCUCUGACUCGAGUCCGGUAGGGGAGCGUGGAAUUCCCGGUGUAGCGGUGAAAUGCGCAGAUAUCGGGAGGAACACCAGUGGCGAAGGCGGCUCUCUAGUACGGUACUGACGCUGAGACGCGAAAGCGUGGGGAGCGAACAGG
Molecule: ribosomal RNA, 254 nt
Filed under: uncultured bacterium
Lineage: Bacteria
Description: partial 16S ribosomal RNA
Rfam family: Bacterial small subunit ribosomal RNA
Source: RNAcentral